GCGGAAUUCGAUCCCCAAUUUGAUAUCUGAACUCCACUCUUGGUCCUGGAAACUGAAAGCUGGAUGCUUACUUAUGUUUUCCUUAUGGAUUGUAUUUGACUACUAUAACUUAUUCUGUGGGCUGUAAUGUGUUUUUUUUGGGAUAAUGUACUUUUCUUUUUGGAUUGCCACUUGAAGCUGGAAAAUGUGUAAACCCUAAUUCGAUUACUUGGUUUGUAAGUUUGUAUUUGGGAUUUAUGUAUGUAUCUAUCCGGAUUGGUGCGACUUUAUACUUUGGUACGUAGCACGUAGGACGUUUAAGAGCACCGACUGGUUAUUUUAUCA
Molecule: non-coding RNA, 324 nt
Organism: Coffea arabica (coffee)
Lineage: Eukaryota; Viridiplantae; Streptophyta; Magnoliopsida; Gentianales; Rubiaceae
Source: RefSeq, a predicted model, not a curated record